This is a microRNA precursor of Oryza sativa Japonica Group (Japanese rice), 200 nucleotides long. It matches the Rfam family "MIR1435 microRNA precursor family". The record is from Rfam. NCBI's taxonomy places the organism in Eukaryota, Viridiplantae, Streptophyta, Magnoliopsida, Poales, Poaceae.
UUAUUUUUUCCUAAGUCAAACUUCUUUAGCUUUGACUAAGUUUACAGAAAAAUAUAGCAAUAUUUUCAACAUGAAACAAAAAAAUAUCAAUAUAUAUUCAAUGUUGGAUUUAACAAAACUAAUUUAGUGCUAUAAAUGUUGCUAUAUUUUUCUAUAAACUUGGUCAAACUUUUAAGAAGGUUGACUUUAAAAAAACUGAA